Molecule: long non-coding RNA, 743 nt
Organism: Epinephelus lanceolatus (giant grouper)
Lineage: Eukaryota; Metazoa; Chordata; Actinopteri; Perciformes; Serranidae
Source: RefSeq, a predicted model, not a curated record
UCAGGUGAUUUGGGAGCUGACUGCCUCGCAGCUGGAGCUCAUGUCUAAUCAAGGACUGCUCUUAAGCAGUGAGCUGCAGAGGACCAGUGGCGGUUCUGGGGAGGGGCCAGCAGGGGCCAGUGCCCCUGUAACAUUGAACCUGGACCCCCCUGUGGCCCCCCCACUCAGAAUAAAAAUUGAUACAAUAAUGAAAAUUGCAUGUCCCGCCGAUGCAAAAAAAAAAAAAAUGUGUGUGGCAUCUUUGUCCAGUCGGAUCCUUUAGUGCGCUGCACCAUAGCCAGACUGGCUUACAACGUGGAUGACAACUUUUGAGCAUGAUGAAAUAUACCACUCGUGAAGAGACAGAAGAGUCAGUUACCAAGGAGAUUAAAGUUCAAAAUGAAGAGAAAAAAGCCAAAGGACAUAACAUCCUAUUUCUGCCCAUCAAAGAAAAUCGUCAAUGACGAGGCAGCUCAUAUUGAGACAGAGCCAGAUGAUUCUGGUGAGAUAGCUGAAGAGAGGCGACAGGUGGUGGUUGAGGGCACCAUAGAAAGAGAGACAGACACAGUGAACAUUGAAGAAAGUGGUUUGUAAAGUGAGGGCACAGAGGAGGACAGAGAAACAAACGAAGAUCCUGAGAGUGAAGAGGGGGACAUACAAGCACAGAGUGAGACAGAGACAGAGGAUCCAUGUGCAUCAACAAGCACUGGACCAUCAGAUAUCAGCAGAUGUAGAGAGGACCCACCAAUGCAGCCGAAAUUAAC